CAGCCGCCGCGGUAAUACGAAGGGUGCAAGCGUUAAUCGGAAUUACUGGGCGUAAAGCGUGCGUAGGCGGUGAGUUAAGUCUGCUGUGAAAUCCCCGGGCUCAACCUGGGAAUGGCAGUGGAUACUGGCUCGCUAGAGUGUGUCAGAGGAUGGUGGAAUUCCCGGUGUAGCGGUGAAAUGCGUAGAGAUCGGGAGGAACAUUAGUGGCGAAGGCGGCCAUCUGGGACAACACUGACGCUGAGGCACGAAAGCGUGGGGAGCAAACAGGAUUAGAUACCCGCGUAGUCCCUGUCUCUUAUAC
This 301-nucleotide ribosomal RNA is filed under the name uncultured bacterium. RNAcentral describes it as "partial 16S ribosomal RNA". It matches the Rfam family "Bacterial small subunit ribosomal RNA", at positions 509 to 807 of the family's 1533-position model. The record is from RNAcentral.